CAGUCGCCGCGGGAAAACGGAGGGUGCAAGCGUUAUCCGGAUUUAUUGGGUUUAAAGGGUCCGUAGGCGGAUCUGUAAGUCAGUGGUGAAAUCUCACAGCUUAACUGUGAAACUGCCAUUGAUACUGCAGGUCUUGAGUAAAUUUGAAGUGGCUGGAAUAAGUAGUGUAGCGGUGAAAUGCAUAGAUAUUACUUAGAACACCAAUUGCGAAGGCAGGUCACUAAGAUUUAACUGACGCUGAUGGACGAAAGCGUGGGGAGCGAACAGGAUUAGAUACCCGCGUAGUCCCUGUCUCUUAUAC
This 301-nucleotide ribosomal RNA is filed under the name uncultured bacterium. Its description in RNAcentral is "partial 16S ribosomal RNA". It matches the Rfam family "Bacterial small subunit ribosomal RNA", at positions 509 to 807 of the family's 1533-position model. The record is from RNAcentral.